AAGAGACAUGUCUUCCCUUUAAUAUAUUUUUCAUUUUCUUUUUAAUUACAAUUACCCUAAGAUACAUGCUUAAGAGACCCGGAUAAUGGUGCUCUUAGUCGAUGUUUCUCACUAAAUUUCUCCGGUCUCUCUUGCUCGAUGGCUGCUACGCCCUCCUCCAAAUCCGUCCAUGAAAUCACCGUCAAGGAUGAGUGACGAAACAGCGUCGACGAAGAAGAAGAAGGAGAAGGAGAGUUUGGGAUGGAUGGAGUGGAUAAGAGGAUGGAGUAGCGUUUUCGGGGAGAUUCUCUUCCAAAGGAUCACCGCCUCUCAUUACCUCAAUCCUCUCCCUCUUCCUCCCGUCAACGGCCUCCCUUGCAUUGUCACUGGCUCCACCAGCGGCAUUGGCCGUGAGACCGCUAGGCAGCUUGCGGAGGCUGGUGCACAUGUUGUGAUGGAUGUGAGGAACACGAAGGCAGCUCAGGAGCUAAUUCAGCAAUGGCAGAAUGAGUGGUCUGGCAAAGGUCUCCCACUUAAUGUCGAGCAAACACGUUUACAUGUACUAUAUAAACCCAUGUAACUCAACACACGUACAUAACCAUGUAUAUGUAUCCGCAAGUUCAGGUAAUGAAAAUGUUCAGGUAUUGAUAAGCCCUUUCUCAAAAAAAAAAGGUUCAGGUUGAUACAAGAAACUUGAAUCAGAACAUUGCUACAGAAAAGAAGUAUCAAAGAGCCCACUAGAAAAGACUCAUUGACACAAAGUUAGGUAUAUACACUUUAGAGCAAAGAUUCAAGAUUCAUGUUGCCGGCUGAAUUUAGAUCAUGAUUAAACCGGGGUUCUUAGGACCGGGUUUACGCGUUAAUCAUGUUAUUAGUUCUAACCUUUUAGCAUAGUACUGUAGGGGUUGGCAACUUGAUUAUCGCGAUUAAUGAUUUGUGGAUAUAUUGUGCCAGCUGUUAUGUCAUUAAUGAGCUUUUCCGAAAGCAGAACAUCAUCUUGGACUUUUCUCACAUCAGUCGACAACACUUGCAAUUUGGUCCACUGCAAGUACGUGACAAACAAUAUUCAUCGUAAAUUUACGAGGAUAUUACGACGACACAUGUUACCAUUAUUUAUUGGUAAAAAUGUGUAUUGAAUACAUUUUGAAUUGCCUAAUUUCGUUGUAAACUCGUUGUAAAACUGAUGUAAGAGAGAUCCUAGUAAAAUUUUCCUAGUAAAAUCCUUGUUAUACUUCACCUACCAAAUUCGAAAUUUUUUCUAUA
This is an RNA transcript of Brassica napus (rape), 1242 nucleotides long. It is a transcript of the gene named dehydrogenase/reductase SDR family member FEY-like, with no coding region annotated. The transcript is spliced from 5 exons. The record is from RefSeq and is a predicted model, not a curated record. Lineage: Eukaryota; Viridiplantae; Streptophyta; Magnoliopsida; Brassicales; Brassicaceae.